RNAcentral lists this ribosomal RNA (473 nucleotides) under uncultured bacterium. Its description in RNAcentral is "SSU rRNA". It matches the Rfam family "Bacterial small subunit ribosomal RNA", at positions 26 to 518 of the family's 1533-position model. The record is from RNAcentral.
AGGAUAAACGCUGGCGGCGUGCAUGAGACAUGCAAGUCGAACGGACGAUCAGGGCUUGCUCUGAUCGUUAGUGGCGGACGGCUGAGUAACGCGUAGGUGACCUGCCCCGAAGUGGGGAAUAACUGCCCGAAAGGGUGGCUAAUACCGCAUGUGGUGGUGUGUUCAUUCACACCAGUAAAGCCGCAAGGCGCUUCGGGAGGGGCCUGCGUCCGAUUAGCUCGUUGGUGGGUAACGGCUCACCAAGGCGACGAUCGGUAGGUGGUCUGAGAGGACGAUCACCCCAGACUGGGACUGAGACACGGCCCAGACUCCUACGGGAGGCAGCAGUCGGGAAUUUUGCGCAAUGGACGAAAGUCUGACGCAGCAACGCCGCGUGAGGGAUGAAGGCCUUCGGGUUGUAAACCUCUUUUAUCAGGGAAGAUAAUGACGGUACCUGAUGAAUAAGUCACGGCUAACUACGUGCCAGCAGCCGC